AUCUGUUAUUCAAUCGGUUCAUUCAGUUUCACCAGCUGUUUCAUAUUUGAACGCCAUUUAUGUUCUACUCUUACCAUACAUACAUAUAGAUAAACUGCUGCAAAAAAAUCCAAUUUACUGCGCUGAUUGAAACACGAAAAUUGACUAUCAAUCUCAGUGAACCGUUGGCAGCGACAAACAUAAGUCAAACUUUGAAAAUCGUUUCCUAUCAUAAGAAGGUUUUCUUCUGGUCCUGAAAAUUAUUAGUCAAUCAUUUCGAGGUUGAUUUCCUCCUCGUCGUCCUUAAUUAUUACAAGCAGAAAACUAAAAUGUCUCCACCAUGGAUAAUGUCACUGAUAGUUUAUUUGCUCACUGUCACAAGAGCCAAUAGCUGUGAAUUUAUAACGGAGCCAAUGUGUGGGGAGCAGUUCACGGCUGGCAAUUACACGAUGACUCAGUUUCCUAACCUAAAAAAUCAUAAUCUCGCGUCUGAGGCGAGUCUGGAAAUCAACACCUUUUAUCCACUGGUCCAACUGCAAUGCUCUGACAAACUACAAAUUUUCCUCUGUUCCAUCUACUUCCCCGUCUGUCUGCCCGAUUUGGAUGGAACCCUGGGCCCCUGUCGAGAGCUGUGCGAGGAAACCAAGAUCGGAUGUAGCCACAUCAUGAAGUCAUACAGUUUUGAGUGGACGUUUCCAUGCGAACAGUAUAAUCAAUGCUAGCCCUAUUUUCUGAAUCAACAACUAAUGUUGAGCCAUGAAUCAAAAUUGUAUAGUUGGUUUGUGGGAGACCUGCAUUUGAGUUGGAUCUAUUUCAAUUUAAUCAA
Molecule: long non-coding RNA, 805 nt
Organism: Symsagittifera roscoffensis
Lineage: Eukaryota; Metazoa; Xenacoelomorpha; Acoela; Convolutidae
Exons: 3
Source: RefSeq, a predicted model, not a curated record